RNAcentral lists this ribosomal RNA (187 nucleotides) under uncultured bacterium. Its description in RNAcentral is "partial 16S rRNA". It matches the Rfam family "Bacterial small subunit ribosomal RNA", at positions 338 to 522 of the family's 1533-position model. The record is from RNAcentral.
CCUACGGGGGGCGGCAGUGAGGAAUAUUGGGCAAUGCCCGCAAGGGUGACCCAGCAACGCCGCGUGGAGGAUGAAGGCCGGAAGGUUGUAAACUCCUGUUAGAGGGGAAGAAUAGUACCGGUUGGACCGGUAUAUGACUGUACCCUCAGAGAAAGCCCCGGCUAACUACGUGCCAGCAGCCCCGGUC